UGAGAAUAUGUAUAUUGAAAAACAUUUUGAAACCUUGCACAGUAUAAAAGAGUAAUAGAACCUGAAUUGACUUCAAAAGGGACUUGAUGGCCAUGAAUUGAAUUUGGGUUGAAAACUUUGGAGUCCUAUUGGUCAAGGAGUUAAAGUCCCACUUGGCUAAAUGAUUGGUUCCUACUAGGGACUUUGGAUUCCCAAUGGCUAGUUGGGUUAAAGUCUCACUUGGCUACAUGGUUUGGUUCCUAUGUGGAACAUUGGAGUCUUAUUGGAUAACUGGGUCAAAGUUCCAUUGGCAUAUUAAUGGAUUUGUAAAAGUAACAUGUGUUUGCAAGCUACAGUCUGUAUGACGAUACCACUUGAUAAUGACUUAACGUAUGACUCCUUUCUUAGUGAUUGGGAAUAUGUGAAAAAUGUUUUAUUUGGGCUUUAAUGAGGGUUGUGUAGCUAUUCUAUGAAAUUAUAAGUGCCGAGGGGGCAAUACUAGAAACCGCAGUUGUCGACGCAGGGGUUUAAAUGACUGGGUGGUUCGAGUCCCCCAUGUUAUAUCUCUGAGUGGUCAAGUCACUCUUGACACAUUCCAAGAGGUUCUUGUCCCCCAUAGAGCAUAUGUAUAUGUGAUUAUUCUCUAGUUCGUCCAACCAUACACAUUGGAGCCCUUUCAGCUAGGGGAAAGCUAGACCCAUAUAGCCUGUGGGUGCCUUAUUAUGACGGUUAUGCUACACAAUCUAGGUUAAUGAGUUUUAAAAAUCAUGCUAAACCUUGUACCCUAUCCCAGCAAUAUAUAUAUAUAUAUAUAUAUAUAUAUAUAAGUGUAUAUGCAUAUGAUCGUGUGCCUUGGAUUUGGAUGGAUUUUGAACUAUUGACUAUGUCAUUAUUUUACCCUUUAUCCCUGAGUUACAUGCUAGUUCUCAACCCACUAACCAUCUCCAGACAUUGUAUACCCAUGCGAUAUAGGGUUCGAAAGCAAUCCUACUUUUCCUACGCAGUGUUAGGUGGAUUGGCGUGGUUCAUCAGUCAUUUGUGGUGAAGUGGUGAGCUUUCAUUUUUGGGAAGACUUAAUCAUUCCAUCGGUUUCCUUCCAUGAAUUAGAGUUAAAGACUUCAAAUUAACAUUAUCAUUGUCAUUUCCAUUGUCAGAGUCGAGGGCAUAUCCCGAUAUAGGUUGCUUGUAUAGUAUAGAGGCCUUUUGGAUUACUGUGGAUGGGUUUUGGUUCUUGACAUUCAUAGACGUUUGAGUCACUAUUUUCUCUAUUUUAUUAUAUGUUCGAAACUUAUCUACUGUUAUGUGUAUACGUGUGAUUUGUAAGGUCAUACAAAGGGGGCGAUCCUGGGUCCUCGGCAGACAUAGGAUGCCCAUCACAGCCAGGACCUGGUUCAAGCCGUGACAGUAAAAAAGUAUGUUUAUUACUUGAAGGUAGGUGUUUUUUUAGUGGAACUUUGAACUCAACUCUUGUCCAAAGUUUGUUGAGUUUUAAUUUGUGAGGAGGUUUUUGUGUCCUGGAGGGAAAAAAUCAAGAAGGUUAGUACUGGACCGGUGAAAUCAUUUGUUGCAAUAGGCUUGAAUCGCCUUAAAAGAGAGUAAGAUAUCUGUGCCUCAGCCAAGAAGAAUAUUUAUGUAUUUUAUUUAUUUCUUUUUGUAUUUUCAGUUAUAAAUAUUGUAAUAUUUAGCCAACACUAAGAAUAUCACUCUCCUAACUAGCCUCGCCUGGAGAAUUUUCUAACCCACAUUCUCUUUGUGCAAGUACCUUAAUAAAAAAGUAUAAUAAUACUAAGCCCAACUAUAAUCACUCGUUUAUUUGGGAAAAUAUUCUUUGAGGGGGAUAAAAUUUGUGCUCCUAAUUUUGCUUCGAAACCUGAUUCAGGCAAGGUUAUAAAUUAUGGCAUGAUAGAUGGAUCCCAUAAUCCCUUUUACUUCGGAAUCUCAUUCAUGGACCCUCACAAAAGAGGAAUAUAAUCUAAAGCUUCUUGAUCUAUGGGAAGAUAAUUGUUGGCGAUGGCAUAGGUUUUCUUUUGAUAUUCGGGUCUCAAUUCUUACCAAUACCAAAUAUAUAAACUUUAGCUUUACGAUUAACACCCUUGACGCCCCCACUAGGCAUCCAUCUCCAACAGUGUCUUAACCAUUAAGUCAGUUCUCCAAUACAUGUAAGGAAAUAGGUUGACUACCUAUAAUUUUGCCUAGAUUUGGAGGCUUAACACAAGAAAUUAAUUUGAAUCCCUGCUAUGGCUUUUCUCCCAUGAUAGGCUUCCUACUAUGCAUUUCUCCAUCACUUAUGCAUCACUGAGAAUCCAUACCCCAUUUGUAAAUUAGAGGAAGAAUCUAUUCCUUACGUCUUCUUGCAUUAUUUUAUCGCUAGGAAAUUUUGGCUUGACCUUGGUUUAAAUGUUCACCAACUGUACUUUUCAAAUCUUCACUGGUUAUUAUUAUUAAAGGACCAAAAAAUUCUCUACCCCGACCUCUUCCAUAACAUAUGACUGGACCGACUUUCUUCCCUUUGCACUUUGGCACCUAUGGAUUAAUAGGAACAAUUUUGUCUACAAACUUAAAUCUGUUAUCCCAUUUGUCUCCUUUUUUAAGAAUAAUGUUUUGGAAUUUAUGUCGUAUAUAGAUAGCGAGAAGAUCUUUGAAACCCCGCUUCCUAUAGAAAUUAAAUGAACUUGUCCCCCCACUAGUUAUUUUAAGCUCAAUAUAGAUGGGGCAUAUGACAAACAUAUAACUAAGGGAGGUAUUGGUGGGGUUGUUUGAGACUCAAAUGGUAAUUGGAUCAUGGUUUUUAAUGGUUCAUGCAAUGCCCAUACUGCUUUACACUCGGAGCUUCUAGCCUUACAAAAAGGGCUUGAAAAAAUUGGUACCCACAACUUCUUGCCUUUGGAAGUUGAGGUUGAUUCGACCAAUAUUUUUCUCAUACUUGAUAAAUCUCCACCUUUAUAUAAUUUCAUUGUAUGGUUUUGUAGGUUGCUUCUGAGGAGGUUGGGAAUUGUCAUGACCUAAAAAAUAAGGGGCAUGAUGACACUUGUCGCGGCAAGCCUUGAUAAGUAAACCUGUCACACAAAUUGGUAUGAAAAGGGAAAAUAAUAACAAUAACCCAAAGUAAGGCUUCUAGAAUGAUGUAAAACCACACAAUAUAAUAAGAGCAGAAGAACAUAACCAAAGAUAUCAUACCAUAAUCCCAAAACCUAGUGUCAUAGUAUAAGAACAUCACUAGUACUACUCGAGAUCAAAAUACAUAAGAUAUCCAAAAUAGGAACAACUCUGUCUCUGAAUGCAAAAUAAAGACAUAGUCUAAAUAAAGAAAGGCAGAAGUCGACUCCGGAAGCAAGAAUCCAACUCCUACCUCAAAAUAUCUCCAAAGUAUCAUCCGAAGUUAACCACCAUGAGGUGCACUCGAACCAGGAUCUGCAUCAAAAGGGCAUGGUAAGGGAGAGUAUGGUCCACUUGUACUCAGUAGGUAUCAUAGGCCGACUGAGCAAAGAAUAAAAAUAAAGCAUACAAAAUACACACUAAGGGCACUCCCCCUGCAACCAGAAAAUGUCCCAAACAGUAGUACACACUAUCUUUACUAACAGUUCUACACUAUUCACAUACACCAUAACAAUAUGAAAGAAAAGUACAAGUAUACAGGUAUCACACAUAUGAAUAAGAAGAAAGAAAUACACAUAGAAAGGUAUCAUAACAAGGAAAAUAAUACGUCACAGAAAUGUACAAAAUAAAUGCAAAUGCAACGGAGAUGAUAAUGAUGAUAAUGCUAAUGAUGAUGAUGCUCAAGGUUGUCGCACAACCUCCGUAUACACCUACGUAGAUAAAGCUUUUUGACGUAGAAACAAUCGGGGGGUUUUCAACCCAUAUAUAACCAAUUCAACACCAAUAUCCAUAACUCCUCUUCGAUACAUCUAUCGAUGGAGGAUUUUAAGGAUAUCACAUUUUCUGUUAGAAAAAGCAAGUGUUUCCAGUAUUUCCAUGGUGGUACCAAUAUUUUAUGAAUGUAUAUGAUAUGAGGAUGUAAUUCCCACAACCAACCAGAACGAGUAUUACCAUAUCCAACCAAGUGAGCCAAUAAUCCACUCAAUAUUUCCAACCAGUAAUGAAUUCCAACAUAAACCAUAUGCCAAGAGAGUAGAAUACAAUUAUAUUAUAUUAUUGAUACCAUAUUAGCCUUUUUAUUAAUAGGAUACAAUUAAUUUCACCUAUACAAAGCCAACAAAAACAUAUAAGACCCCAUAUGAUCACACAAUAAAGAAUGUUCCAAAAACCACCAAAUAAAUCAAUAUAUAGGCCUCCACACGGGCACGACACAAUAAUUAUAGCUAUUUUCAUGAUUAAUUCCCACACCCUUAACAUUCUUUUGUAUCAAUCUUAACAACUCAACUCAGUCUAAAGAAAAUUAAGUCAUAAUAUAUCUCGAAUGUCAAACCAUUCCGAAAGCCUUCAAUCCAAAGACCUACUCCUCAUGAAUGGACUCAGAAUCAACUAAAUCAUACAAAUAUAGAAUCUAUGCAUCUAAAAAAAAGCCAACGAUAUCCAUAAUACCUAUUUUAUAUGUCGGGAUAAAAAAUGAACCCCGAAAUGGGUUUUCAAAAAAAAUAGUAAAAUUAUAAUUUUAUUUUUGAAACAUGUUCCCCAUAUUUAUAGGACUUGGAGUUGAAAACCCAAGCAAAAAUAAAUUAAAAACAAAGUCCCAAUUGAAGAAAAAUCAUGCUUAAGCUUUACUGAUAAAAAUCCUUGAAAUUCAUUUUGAAAUCAAGAAUUGAAGCUAUUUUGAAGAUGAAAUCAAAAGAAAAGUGAUAAUUAUAAGAUUAGAAACUCACCCAAGUGAAAUGGGUUGAAAUCGGAGUUUAAAUGGGAAAAUUAUAAUUUUUAGGCUUUUCAGGACAAAAUUCCCAAUUUAUACCUUUUUAAUUCGCAUUUAAAUGUGAAUUACAUGAUGAAAUUUGGAGAAAAUAUUAAAAUAGAUGUUAUGGAGCUCACCCAAGCUUAAAAGUGAAAUAAAUUACUCAAAAUAAUGAAACCCUAAGCUCCAAGUCUCAAAAAUGGUGAAAAUAAAAAAACAUGGGUAUAUAAAGGACCCAGGCAUCGCAUACGCCAUCAUAAAGUCGCGUACGUGGUACCUGUCUUGAGGGCAGGUAUCACAUAUAUGAAUCUAUCAUCUCAUACUCGAGUCCUACAAUCGUAACCAAGAUGUCGCAUAUGCGACACUUGCAUCUAGUCAGCUGAGUCGCAUAAGCGACUGACCCAUUACGUUUGCGGGUGCACCAGCACCAGCAGGAGACUUCAUGAAUUCCAAGUCUCUACAUACCACUCAGGAUUCAUCCAAAAUCCCGUUAACACAAACAACCUAUGCUACCCUGUAAAAAUUUGAUGCUCAGUACUUAAUGGCGAUAUCAGAUUUUCAAAAAAAUAAUGUUUUCACAAAGUUGACCCUCAAAACCUAAUCUCACAACUUUCUAAACCGAGGAUCGAAAUAAGAUAUAAAUCUACAAAAUCACACCAAUCAUGUUACCAACCUUAAAUUGACAUUUUAGAUCUGCUGCCACAAUCUAUUUUUGAAAUGCCUCGGACUUUGUCCUUCACAAAUUUCCUGAGUUUUAGGCUCUCUACCCUUCCUAUGACUUACACCAUGAGUCAUAUGAUGUGGUUAUGGGUCAGGUGACCCCAGCCAUAAGUUAACCAGUGUGUUAUCGAUCAAGUUUUUUCCUGGUUAUGAGUGACUUCUCAUGAGUCGUAUGAUCAUGUGAUGAGUGGUUAGGGUCCAUUCGUAUAUUGUCCUGUGUCCAAGCCCAUGGUAUUUUGUGAUGGUCAUGACUUAGACCAUAUGAGUCGUAUGAUCUAGUGAUGAGUGGUACUAAGAAGUCGUAAGUUGGACAGUAUGUGGUGUCCAAUGCUCUGUCUUAGUGAUGACUCAAUGGUAUGAGUCUUAAGUUAUGGUGAUGAGUCAACGACUUGAAUCAUAACUAAAGGCGGGAUUUUACAACUUUAAGUAGGGGGUACUUUGGACAUUUCCUACCCCAAUCCCUUAAGACCCCACGUCUUAUAACACCUUUUGGUCAUUCAUUAUACCCUUUACAAGAUCAAACUCUCUCUAAACUCUCUCUCUAAAACCUCUCAAUAAAUAUUAGGCUCGGAUUUGUUCAAAGCUCUCUAUGAAUCUUCGUAACUCAGGCAUGUGACUCUCCCUUUGUAAUACCCAUGCUUUUUCUUAGCUUGAAAAUCAUCUCAAAAAUGUUAUAACUUGCUUUGAAAUAAGAAUUCAUUCUUAUACACGUUGAAUUUUCAUAAUUCUCACUUCCUAUCACGUGGAAAAUUGAAUAAUCUUUCCAUCGAUAUAUAAUUCGCCCAAAUCCGACACCCUGGCAAAGAGUUAGAGCUUUUUUAGUGAGACAGUGUUUGACCUGAGCCUUCAGUGCGUCGCGGAGAUAACUCAAAUGGCAAUUGUCAAAUUCCAGUGUUGCUCCAUGAUACUGGUGCAUCAGACUAAACUUCUAGGUCGUAGCCAAGGUGCCAACGCGAUAGCUCUGCGUCGCGCCACCAUGCAAUUUCUCAAUUGUCAAUUUCCAGUGACACAGCGUGGUAACGCCGCGUCGCGCCAAGGGCACAACUCGAGAAAUUUUAUUGAAAAUUUAAUUACAUGUCCAGGGUUAAAAGGGUCAAUUUCUGCCCCCCCCCCCCCUCCCCCCAUAUAAGCUUCCAAAUAUGGGAUUUAUCCACUUUUUACCCAAAACAUAUUAGUUUCUCUAAAGUUUAUCUCAAGAACAAACUAGGGUUUCGAUUGGUGAUUCAAAUUCAGAAAGGUUUCACCAUUAAUCUUCACAAAAUCACGAUCUAAGGUAUGCAUAGUGUUCAUUCGUGGACUCCCUUCGUCCAUGAAGUCCAAGAAUCCUUUUUAACUACAAGUUAUGGAUUUUCUUCAUGUUUUCAUACUUUGUAUGUUCUAUUUCAUAUUGAUAAAUGAGGAAUUGAUUUCUAUUCCAUGAUUUGAUGAUAAAUUCCAGGUGGGUUGAUUAGUAUAGAUAAAGAUUUACGAAAUCUCAUGACUAAAACCUUGUAUGAUGGAAUUGGAAUUGAAGCAUGAUGUUUAAUUGUUGUAUGAUAUGCUUUACAUGUACUAUGCCUACAAAAUGUUUGAUUAAAUUCCUAGAUGAAGGAAAAUUGUCUAACUAGCAUGAUAUCAUAAAAUCCCCAUGUAUGUACAAGUUUAUGCCUAUUACAUGUUUGAUGAAAGACUCCUAUGAAUGUAGUAUGUAUUAUGAAGUUAGUCAAGUCUUCAAGUAAAUCAUGCUAUGUCAGUUUCCUUCUAUUGAGUCCUGGGGGUACUUGUACCCAAAAUAUUAGUUGUGUGCCUAGAUCCAUAUCAUGUUUUCAUGAUACUCUCAGUCAAGAUAUGAACUCUUAGACUUCAAAUAGUCUUAUGACUCAGGAAAAAUCUCCAUGAUCUCAUGACUCAGUCAGUUGUCAGAUAUCAGUAGUAAUCCGUUAGCCAUGGAAAUUCAGUAACUCAAUCCAUGUUCUGUUCAGUUCAGUUCAGUAAAUCAUGUUCAGUGUCCAUUUAGAUGGGAGUACGAAUUAGCACCGAGUUAACCCAAAGAUGGGGACACAUCUGUUAUACUAGGGUGUGAUUCCUAGAAGCAAUCCUUCCAUUUCAGAAAUAUGUAGCCAGCAUAGGUUGAGAAAUCGUAGCCUACUAUAUGAGGGUAGAUGAGGUGGCUUAACCUAUUAUGUGAGGGUUCCCACCAUUCUCGCUAGAGUUACCUGUUAUAUAAGGGUUACUCACAUGUUGUCCUUACUAGUGGUGCGGUAUUGAUACCCUUCCAAUCAGGGCAUAGAUUGGACCCCAGCUCAGCUAUUAUAGUACUUUUGGGGCAUGUCGAUUAGAUACUACUUCCCACAGUUUCAUGUUAGAGAAUUCGGACUGUCAGAUACAGUUAAUCAGUCUCAGUAAUAGAACUCGAUAAUUCUUUAGAUUUCAGGACUGUCAGAUACAGUCAACUCAGUUACUGUACAGAACUCAGAUAGUUCCAUCAGAUUUAGGACUAUCAGUUGUAGUCACCCACGUUAUCAGUUAUACUCAGAUAUAGUCACCCAUGUUAUCAGUAUUUUCAUAUAUAGUCCUUCAUGUUAUCAGUCAUAUCAGUUACUAGCAUGUCAUAUUAUCAGUAUACAGAUUCAGAAAUUAUGAAAUCACGUUAUCAGUUAUGUAUUUAUGCAUGUAUUCUCAUAUUCAUGUUAGACAGUCAGUUAGCAUUAUUCAUGCAUAUGAACCAUUGUAUAUAUCCUACCUCACAUAUAUACUCGGUACAUAUUUACUGAUACAUUCUCCCUAUGGUGCUUUCUUUUUAUGUUACACCAUAGAUUCAGAGACACGAUUUCCAGAUCAGCAGUAGAUUCCAGAUUCAGCAGUCAGAGUAGAAGUGAGUCCUCAUCCUUCUAGGACAUAAUGAUUUUCUAGUAUCUCAUUGAUUAUCUUAUUAGUUGGAGUUAGUUGGGGACAUAUCCCAUCAACUCCUUAUUAAGAUUCUUUAGACAGUAGAGGCUUCUAGACUAGAUUCAGACUAGAUACAGACUAUCAUGUUUUAGACUUCAGUUUUGUUUUGGGUAUUCUAUUACCCCACACAAAUGUUACGUUAUUCAGUUAUGCUCAUGAUCGAACCUUAUGGUGUUUCAGUGCAUGUUUUCAUAUUAUUAUGUUAUCUUAUGUAGUAUACAGGUAUAGAUAUCAGUCAUGGGUUAACUUAUAGUCCUUCGAGGUCAUGAGCAUCGUGUAGUAUUCCGGUUCAGUAAAUCGGGUCGUUACAAACUUGGUAUCAGAGCCUAAGGUUCUAUAGAGUCCUAGAAAGUCUGAAAGCCACAUCUAGUAGAGUCUUGUACAUGGGUGUGUUGCGCGCCACAUUUAUGUGCAAGAGGCUAUGAGAUGUUUUAAGAACAGUUUCACCUCUUUCAGUAUUCAUGUCGUACCUGUGAGCAUAAUCACAAGUUAGUCUCUCAGUCUAAUCUGCUUCUUCUGUUUAUUUCAGAACAUGCCUCCUAAGAGAAGAAAUCAGUCAGCCCCUCAAUCCGAAGAACCUUUGGGCGAUCAUGUUUCUCAUGCGAAGUUCAGGACCGCAUUUACCACUCUUAAACAAACAGCCGUUGCUCAUAAUGAACGGCUAACAGUCAUUUCGGCCAACCCAAUGGCCAACUCAGCUGCAGCGAGGAUUCGGGACUUCACCCGAAUGAAUCCUCCAAUCUUCCUCGGGUCUAGGGUAGAUGAAGACCCUCAGGAAUUCUUAGAUCAAGUUCAGAAAGUGACAGAUACCAUGGGAGUGACAACUGUUAAGAGCGCUGAGCUAGCUGCAUACCUAUUGCAGGAUGUGGCUCAUUCUUGGUUCAAAUAGUAGAAGUCCAAAAGAUCAGAUGAUGCAGGUCCUAUAGAGUGGAAAGAGUUUGUCACUACAUUCUUAGACAGAUUCUUUCACCAAGAGCUUAGAGAAGCCAAGGUGCUAGAGUUCAUCAACCUCAGGUAGAGCAAUAUGACAAUGAAAGAGUAUUCUUUGAAGUUUACUCAAUUAGCCAGGUAUGCCCCUCAUGUGGUUGCAGAUAGUAGAUCCAAGAUAAGUAAGUACACUUCAGGGGUGAACGACAGUGUGGUUAAUGAGUGCAGAUCUACCAUGCUGAACAGUGACAUGACCUUAGCUAGACUUAUGACUCAUGCUCAGCAGAUACAAGAGCAGAAAAUUAAGCAGAGGAAAAAGUAGAAUAAGAGAGCAAAGAUAGGUAGUUUCAACUUCGAUCAGCCUAAAUCAGAAGAAGAAAACCAUUCCCAGUUUCGUCUUAUGUCAUCAGUUCCAAUUCCCUCUAUAGCCAGUACUCCAGUUCCUAAGUUUAAAGAGUGUAACAAAGAUAGAGCGUCAGGCUCUAAGACCCAGGGCAGUGUUAUUAGUGCCCGCACUUAUCCUCUUUGCCAGACUUGCGGUAAGCACCAUCAGGGUGUGUGUAGAGCAGGUAGUGGCAUUUGUUUUGGUUGUGGCAAUCCAGACCAUAGAGUUAGAGACUGUCUGCAGCCAGGUCCUCAGGGUCAACAGAAUCGCUCUUCAGCUCAGUCCGAUCGCCCAAAUCAGUAGGGUGCCACUUCCAGUGCUACUAGUAGGCAACGUACAACUUGUCUCUAUGCUCUUUAUACUCGACAAGAUCAGUAAAGAUCUCCUAAUAUAAUAAUUGGUACGUUACAGAUCUUUCAUAUCCAUAUUUACGGUUUGCUAGAUCCAGGAGCUUCCUUGUCUUUUGUUACUCCUUAUAUAGCAGUUGAUUCAAUAUCAGUCUCAAAAUUCUAGCAGAGCCCUUCUCAGUCUCUACCCCAGUGGGUAAAACCAUCAUAGCUCGACGGGUAUACAGGAACUGCUCGGUUAUGAUAUUUUAGAAAGUCAUUUAAAUAGACUUAGUCAAAUUAGAGAUGACUGAUUUUGAUGUCAUUCUCGUUCUCAGCAUGGAUUGGCUUCAUUCCUUCUAUGCCAAAGUCAACUGCAGAAAUAGAAUAGUUCAGUUUUAGUUCCCAAAUGAACCCGUCCUAGAGUGGAAGGGUAGUGUAUCCGUUUUUAGGGGUCAACUUAUUUCCUACCUUCGGGAAAGAAAAAUGAUAUCUAAGGGAUGUGUUUAUCAUCUAGUUCAUGUUAGAAAUUCCAGUUCCAAGGCUCCCAGUCUCAAAUCAAUCCUAGUAGUGAAUGAAUAUUCAGAUGUCUUUCCCAAAAAUCUUUCAGGAAUUCCUCUCGAAAGAGAAAUAUACUUUGGUAUUAAUCUUUUUUCAGACACUCAGCCUAUCUCUAUUCCACCAUAUAGAAUGGCACCAGUAGAAAUCAAGGAACUGAAAGAACAGUUGAAGGAUCUCUUAGAUAAGGGAUUCAUCAGACCCAAUAUUUCCUCGUGGGGCACACCAGUCUUAUUCGUAUGCAAGAAAGACGGCUCUCUCAGAAUGUGUAUAGAUUACCGUCAAAUCAAUAAGGUUAUGAUCAAGAAUAAGUAUCAUCUUCCCAGAAUCGAUGACUUGUUUGACCAAUUUCAGGGUGCCAAUUAUUUCUCUAAGAUAGACCUCAGAUCUGGCUAUCAUCAGCUUAGAGUUAGAGAAUAUGACAUCCCAAAGACAGUUUUUCGUACGCGGUAUGGUCACUUUGAAUUUUUAGUUAUGUCCUUUGGUCUUACCAAUGCCCCAGCAGCUUUCAUGGACUUGAUGAACUACGUGUUCAAGCAGUACUUAGACAUGUUCAUCAUAGUCUUGAUAGAUGAUAUUCUGGUCUAUUCCCACACUGAGAGAGAUUAUGCAGACCAUCUCAAAAUAGUACUCCAGACUCUCAAAAAUCAUCAGUUAUUCACCAAAUUCAGUAUGUGCAAAAGUACAGAUAUCAGUCAUGGGUUAGCUUGUGGUCCUUCUAGAUCAUGAGCACCGUGUAGCGUUCCGAUUCAACAAAUUGGGUCGUUAUACCCUCAUUGUUAGUUCACUAAAAUAUAUGUCCAAAAAAUGUUCAUGAUUUAUUAAUGGUGGUUUUUGAAAACCAAGGUUGAGGGUUUGAAUGAAUAUUAUUGGGUAUCGCUUCCUCAUAAUUUAAUUUAUGAUUAUGCAUAUUUUAAUAAUGGUUUGCACAAGUGGAUGCAUGGGAAUUGUGGUUUAACUAAAGAGUCAUAUUUAACCCUAAAUAUGAUGAUUUUUUAUUUUGAUAAUGGUAUGCCUUCAACCUGUUUGUGAAAUUUUCAAUGAGAAUGAUCUUGUCACAUAAUGAAUUGUGUUUUGAACUAAGGAAUUGGUGUAAGAAUGUUAAUGAUUGGUAAAUGGUUUUAUGACAACCUUGUUAUCCAUAAAUUGAUUUGAAACACUAAAUGGGUUUGAGUCCCUAAAUGGUGAAUUGAAUUGACAUCUUUGUUAGACAAUGGGUUCGAGUCCCAAGAUGAUUAAUAAUGGUUAUGGCAUGUUAUACCCUAGAAGGUGGGGUUGGUAUGAUGAUACCAAUGGAAUGCCUUUGGUAAGUAAUUGGAUUAACGGUUGUAUAUGUGUAAUGAAUUUUUUAAUUUGGCUUUAAAGCGGGAUAUGUAGUCCAACCGUGAAAGUGGAGUUUGAAGGAUUAACACUGGAAAACGUGCUAGCUAGUGCGAGUCUCUAUAUAACCAAGAGGUUUAAGUCCCCUGAACUGAAUAUAUAAAUGGGAGGUUCGAGUCCCCCAUAUUGCAUAGAUUGGUGCUUAUUUUAUCCUCUACUCCUGAGUUACAUGCUAGCACUCCAAUAGCUAACCAUCUCCGGAUGGUGUAUCCUUAUGCGAUGUAGGCACCAAAACCUCUUCUACUUUUCCUAUGCAGUGAUCAAGUGCUCGAGUUAGUUCGUGAGUUGACAUUGAAGUGGUGAGCUUCCAUACUUCAGAAGGCUUCAUUUCAUGGUCCUUAUUUCCUAUGUCAUAGACCUUGUUUAGAUUUUGUUUUGGCUAGUGUCGGGGCAUGUCCCGACAUUCUAUUGAUUUCAGUUUUCUAGAGGCUUUGUUGGAUUGUUGUAGACUUGGGUGGUUUGGUUGAUAGUUUCAGUGAUGGACGGUAGUCCGAUUACUGGUGGUUGGUAAAGACAUAUAAUGAAUCAUUAUUAGUUUAUUUUAUGUUAUCUUGUUAUAUGUUCGGAAUUCAAUCUGAUACUUGAAGUUGUUGGGCUGCCUAGGUUAGGUAAAGGUGGUGAUCUCCGGUCCACGUGGGAUUUGAGAUACCCAUCACGGUCAGACCCUGGUUUGGGUCAUGACAAUUUUGCCAUCCGACGCACAGAUCAAUGAAUGUUGACCGAAGUAAACUAUAAGCCUUUUUAAGCCACCAAAAAUAAUAAUUUACUGGAGUUUAACCACUAGAAUAUCUCUAGAACGCAACAGUCUAACAUCUCUAGUCAAGAUGGAGAUAGACUCCUCAACAAAAGAUAACCUCUCAUCUAACUGAAUUGAAUCCCAAUGAGUGACAUGAGACUUAUCCGGAAUGUAAUGAUGAAGCAUGGAAACAAGAAAAACUGGGUGAACAAUUGAUAAAUAUGAGGGCAAAGAUAACUCAUAAGCCACAUCACCAACAGUUCGAAGAAUCUCAAAUGGCCCAAUAUACCUGGGGCUAAUCUUUUCCCUCUUCCCAAACCUCAUCACACCCUUCAUGGUCAAAAAUAGAAGGAAAAUACAAUCACCCACACCAAAAUUCAAGGCACGAAGUCUACGAUCUGCAUACCACUUCUGCCUACUCUGAGCCACUUGAAGGCUAUCCUGGAUGAUCCAAACUCUAUCCAAAGACUCAUGAACCAAGUCCAUAUCUCGAUGUCUAACCUCAGAAACCUUAAACCAACAAACUAGAAAGCGACAACAUCUACCAUAAAAGGCCUCAAAAGGACCCAUAUCAAUAUUGGAAUGGUAGCUAUUAUUAUAUGGAAACUCUGCCAGAGCUAGAUGUUGCUCCCACUGGCCACCAAAGUCCAUCACAUAAGCAUGGAGCAUAUGCUCCAAUACUUGAAUAAUUCGCUCUGACUGACCAUUAGUCUGGGGGUGAAAUGUUAUGCUAAAUCAACCCGAGUACCCAACUCAUCCUAAAAGGUAUUCUAAAAGUGAGAUGUGAACACCAAACCUUGAUCUAAGAUGAUAGACACUGGCACACCAUGAAGAUGCAUAAUCUCAUAUAUAUAGAUACGGGCCAACCUCUCAACAUUAAAAAAGACUUGAACCAAAAUGAAAUAGGUAGAUUUGGUCAAUCGAUCCACGAUAACCCAAAUACUAUCAGAACCACAAAAAGUACGAGUCAACCCAGUCACGAAGUCAAUAGUAAUUUGUUCCCAUUUCUACUCAAGAAUGGGUAACCUCUGAAGUAAUCCACGAGUCCUCAAAUGCUCGACCUUCACUUGCUACCAACAUAGGUAAUAAGCUACAAAAUCUAAUAUAUCUCUCCUUAUACUACCCCACCAAUAAUGUUUCCUCAGAUUAUGAUAUAUCUUAGUCAUUCCAGGAUGGAUGGAAUACCUGGAAUAAUAAGCCUCCUCCAAAAUCAAUCAAAUUCAAUCACCCACUCUCGGCACACAAACCCAACCUUCAAUCCUCAAAAUACCAUCUGAUUCAAGUGAGGAUUUCUUAGCCUCACCACUUAAUGCCUUACCCCAAAUCAAUCUCAAUCCAACAUCAUCAAACUAAUGAGCUCGAAUCUACUCCAUCAAAAAAGACCUAGCAUCCACGAAUGCCAAAAUACACUUAGGUGUCAAAAUAUCAAGACUAAUUAUCUAGUUAUCCAGAGACUGAACCUCUAAGUCCAAAGGCCUCUCUUGGGUUAAAGGAUGUGCCAAACUACCUAUGCUAGUCGACUUCCAGCUCAAGGCAUCUGCAACUACAUUAGCCUUGCCUGGAUGAUAGAGAAUAGUCAAGUCAUAAUCCUUAAGAAACUCAAGACAACGCCUCUGCCUUAUAUUAAGAUCUCGCUGGGUGAAGAAAUACUAAAGGCUACGAUGAUCCAAGAAAAUCUCACAAUGGACUCCAUACAAGUAGUGCCUCCACAACUUCAAAGCAAAAAACAACUGCACACAACUCCAAAUCAUGGGUAGGGUAAUUGUUCUAAUGCGAAUUCAAUUAAAGAGAAGCAUACACAAUCACCUUACCAUCUUGCAUCAAUAUAGCACCUAACCCAACAUCCGAAGCAUCACAAAAGAUAAUAAAACCCACGACCUCUUUAGGCAAGGUUAAGAUAGUAGUUUAUGUCAAUAAAUCCUUAAGCUUUUGAAAUCUCACCUCACAAGAAAUUAACCACUGAAAAGAAACCUUCUUCUAAGUCAAAUUGGUCAAUGGAGCUACGAUAGAUGAGAAACCCUCAACAAAACAUCGGUAGUAACCUACCAAGCCAAUAAAACUCUAAAUCUCAGUGGGCGAAGUAGGCCUAGCCCAAUCACGAACUGCUGCAACCUUAGCUGGAUCAACCAUAAUACCUUUCUUAGUCACCAAUGACCUAAGAAAGAGACAGACUUCAACCAGAGCUCACAUUUAAAGAACUUAGCAUACAACUUCUUAUCCCUCAAUCUCCGAAGUACAAUCCAUAAAUGCUCCUCAUAAUCGGCCUCACUCUUAGAAUAGACCAAGAUAUCAUCUAUAAAUACUAUAACAAAUGAGUCAAGAUAAGUCAAAAUAUUUGGUUCAUCAACUUCAUGAAAAUGGCUGGGGAAUUAGUCAACCCAAAGGACAUGACCAAGAACUCAUAAUGACCGUAUCGAGUCCAAAAGGCUGUCUUUAAAAUAUUUAAAGCUCUAAUCUUCAACUAGUGAUACCCAAACCUCAAAUCAAUAUUCGAAAACACCAAAGCACCCUAAAGCUGGUCGAACAAAUCAUCAAUAUGAGGAAGAGGAUAUUUCUUCUUGAUUGUCACCUUGUUCAACUGUCGAUAAUCAAUAUAUAGAUGCAUAGACCCAUCCUUUUUCUUUACAAAUAAGACAGGCACCCCAAGGUGAUAUACUAGGUCGGAUAAAUCCCUUAUCCAACAACUCUACCAACUAAUCUUUUAAUUUCUUCAGCUGGUUAGGCCAUCCUGUAGGGAGAAAUAGAAAUGGGCUUCGUGCCAGGCUAGAAAUCAAUAGAAAAGUCAAUAUCACGAUCCAGAGGCAUACCAAGCAAAUUUGUAGGGAAUACAUACAUAAAAUCUUGAACGACACGAAUGGAAUCGAAGAAAGGAGAUGAAGCAACACUAGUAUUAUGAAUAUGAGCCAAAUAAGGAAGGUAUCCCCUCUCAACCAAGCGACGAGCCUGAACAUAAGAUAUAACCUUUUUGGGACCCGAAUGAAGUGCAUCAUUCCAAGCUACCCCUGGCACACCCAGCAAAGCUAAAGUUAUGGUCUUAGUAUAACAAUCUAGGACAGCAUGGUAAAGGAGUCAAAUAGUCCAUACCCAAGAUGACAUAAAAAUCUACCAUAUCCAAUACAAUCAGAUCUACCCAGGUCUCACUCCCAGUAAAAGUCAUAACACAAGAUCAGUAUACCACAUCCACCAUCAAAGAGUCUCUUAUAGAGGUAGAUAGACGAAUAGAAACAUCACAAACUGAAUAAAACCCCAAAUCAAAGUAUACAGACAUAUAAGAGAAAGUCGAUCCCAGAUUAAAUAAUACAAAUGCUAGUUUGAAACAAACGUGGAUGAUAUUUAUGGCAACAGCAUCGGAGGCCUCUACCACUUGUCUAACGGGUAUAGCAUAGUACUAUCCACGACCACCAACUGGCUGAAUAGCCCCACAACCACCACCAAGGGAUCCGCUACCUAUACUUCGCGCACCUUUAGUAGAACCCCUACCUCUCACAUCUGAAAUAAGAGUAGCCAUAAAUACACUACGAAGAUAGUCCUCAUCAAAAUAGACAGACUUAUCACAAACAUAGCAACCUCUAUGACCCAACUCAGUAGAAUGAGGUAUGACUAGACUGGAGCGACCAUCCAGAACUACUGAACCAGAAGACCCAUUACCUAAACUUUGUAAGGCUGCUUGCAUGAUUUACCAAGAUAACCAUGGAAACCUUUAGAAUCCCUACCUCAAGAAGUGUGACCUCUGAACUCACUCAGACUGUGCACCUUCUUGGCACCUCUAGAUGCUCAAAGAAUACCCUUAGUUAUCUUAGCAUGAUCCAUAAUACUCUGAAAUGAUGUUCCACAUACUACCAUCUGAGAUGUAUCUAGCUAGAGAAAAACAUCCAACCCCUUCAUGAACUUUUGAAUCUUUUCAAAUUCAAUGGCAAUUCUAGCAUAGGAAUAUCUAGACAAGGCAUAAAAGUGUCCCUCAUACUUUGUAAUAGUCAUCGAGCCCUGCUCCAGGGUAUCAAACUCAUCUCUCAUCCAAUCCCUCAAACUGAAAGGCAAAUUUAUCCAAAAAGGACUCAGUAAACUGGUCCCAAGUCAUAUCAGGAGAAUCGAGAGGUCUGCAACCAAUAAGUGACCUCCAUCAAUCUCUAGCGGCAUCUCUCAACCCAAGCAAACCCAGGAAAUGCAACUUUUCAUGACAAUGAAUCAAUAAAUCUUAGGCAUCCUCGCCUACAACACUACUGAAUCUAGGAGGACCCAAAUGAGUGAACCUCUUAAAUCUCUUCUGAUUCUCAAAAGACAUAACUACACUCGUAAUAAGAGGAGGAGUGGUGAAUUUGGCAAGUUGAGAUCCCACCUGAGAAGGCAACGUAAAUUAAGGUUGAACUCCUAACCUCAAAAUACCUUACUUGGAUGCAGGUGCUGAAAGAGGAGUAAUACUCGGAGUAUAUGGAGUACCAAAACAACAAGUAGGUAUUACUGGAGGAUCCACACUCGGAGCUAGAGAAACACCGUAAGAAGACCCUGGUAUAGACAAAGGUACAAUACUCGGGGCUAGGAGAACACCAGGCGUAGUCAAAAGAGCACCCUUCAAAUGGGUCAGCAAGCAAUCUAAUAACCCCUCCAAGAUUGGGGUAAAAGAACUCGCCGAAACUGACGUAGGACCCAUACCUCCAACAUGCUCAACACGAGUCUCAAGGGAGAGUCCCUUAGCACCACUCCUAGAUGGGGUAAAUCCUCAUGCCUGUCCACUACCUUGAGCCUGUCCACGACUCACAACUCACCUUUUAAAUUGGGCUCUCUCUCAAAUGAAGACUCUGCAUCUCUAACCUCACGAGAUCUAGUCAUCACUAUCUGCGCAGCAAAGAGUAAAACAUGACUUAGAACACAAGGUAUGAAGUAAAUCCUCACAAUAAGAAAAAAAUGAGAAAAGUUUUCUAAAGACAUCAUAUAGCCUCUAGAAGAUAGAUACGAACAUCUAUGUACCGAUCCGCGAGACUUUAUUAGAUAUUUCGCUCUUACACUAUUGAGAUCAAAUAAACCUGGUUGCUCCGAUACCAAUUUGUCAUGACCUAAAAACUAAGGGUCAGGAUGGCACAUGUCACGGCAAACCUUGACAACUAAGCCUAUCACACAAAUUGAUAUGAAAAGAGAAAACAAUAACAAUAACCCAAAGUAAGGAUUCUAGAACAAAAUUGAACCACAUAAUACAAUAAAAGCAGAAGAAUGUAACCAAAGAUAUCAUACCAUAAUUCCAAAACCUGGUGUCACAGAGUAAGAACAUCACUAGUACAACUCGAGAUCAAAAUACAUAAGAUAUUCAAAAUAAGAACAACUAUGUCUCUGAAUGCAAAAUAAAGACAUAGUCUAAAUAAAGAAAGAUAGUAGUUGACACUGGAAGAAAGAAUCCAACCGUUACCUCAAAAUAGAUCCAACGUAUCGCCCGAAAUCAACCACUAUGCUGUACAUUCAAGCUAGGAUCUACACUGAAAGGGCGCAGUAGGGGUGAGUACGGUCCACUUGUACUUAGUGGGUAUCAUAGGCCGACUGAGCAAAGCAGAAAAUAAAGCAUACAAAAUACACACUAAAGGCGCAUCAUCUGGAAUCAGAAAAUGUCCCAAAAGGUAGCUCACACCAUCUCCACUAAUAGUUUUAUAAUAUUUACAUACACCAUAACAAUACGAAAGAAAAGUACAAGUAUCCAAGUAUCACACAUACGAAUACGAAGGAAGAAAUACAUAUAGACAGGUAUCCCAAUAAGGAAAAUAAUACAUCACAGAAAUGUACAAAGUAAAUACAAAUGCAAUGGAGAUGAUGAUGAUAAUGCUAAUGCUAAUGAUGAUGAUUCCCGAGGUUGUCGCACAACCUCUGCAUACACCUACGAAGCUAAAGCUUCCCGACAUAGGACCCAUCGGGGGUUCGUCAACUCGUAUUCAACCAAUAUCCAUAACUUAUCUGUGGCACAUCCAUCGGUAUAGGGUUUUAAAGAUGUCACAUUUUCUAUCAGAAAAAGUCAGUGUUUCUAGUAUUUUCAUGGUGGUACCAAUGUGUCAUAAUUGUAUAUGAUAUGAAGGUGUAAUGCUCACAAUCAAUCAUAAUGAGUAUUUUCAUAUCCAGCCAAUAUAACAACUGAGUGAGCCAAUAAUCCACUCAUUUUUUCAACCAUCCAUGAACUCCAACAUAAAUCAUAUGCCAAGAGAGUAAAAUACAAUUAAAUUAUACCAUUGAUACGACAUUAGGCUUUUUCACUAACAUGAUACAAUUAAUUUCACGUAUACAAAGCUAACAACAUCAUAUAAGACCCCACGCAUUCACACAUAACAAAUAAUAUCUCAAAAACCGCUAAAUACAUCAGUAUAUAUGCCCCACACGGGCACGACACAAUAAUUAUAGCCAUUUUCAUGAUUAGUUCUCACACCCUUAACAUGAUUUUGUAUCAACAUUAACUACCCAACUCAAUCUAAAGAAAGUUAAGCUAUAACCUAUCUCGAAUGUCGAAAAUCAGUUUGAAAGUCUUCAAUCCGAAGCCUUACUCCUUACGAACGUACUCAAAAGCAACUAAAUCAUACAAAUAUAGAAUCUAUGCGUUAAAAAAAAGCCAGCAAUACCCAUAUUGUCUAUUUUUAUCUUGGGGUCAAAAUGGACCCCUAAAAUAGAUUUUCAAAAGAGAAAUAUAAAAUCGUAAUUUUAUUUUUGAAAUAUAUUUUCUAUAUUUAUAUGAUUCUACAGCUAAAAAUCUAAAUGAAAAUGAGUUAAAAAUAAAGUCUCAAUUAAAAAGAAAAAUCAUGCUUAAGCUUUACCAGCAAAAAUCCUCGAAAUUCAUUUUGAAAUCAAGAAUUGAAGUUGUUUUGAAGAUGAAAUCGAAAGAAAGUGAUAAUUAUAAGAUUAGAAACUCACCCAAGUGAAAACAAAUUGAAAUCGGGGUUUAAAUCGAAAUAUUAUAAUUUUAGUCCUUAAGGGUCAAAAUUUCCAAUUUCUACCUAAUUAUUCGCGUUUAAACAAAAAUUACAUGAUGAAAUUUGGUGAAAAUAGUUGAAAUAGGUGUUAUGGAGCUUACCCAAGCUUAAAAGUGGAAGAAAUUGCUCAAAUCACAAAACUCUAAGCUUCAAGUUUUAAAAAUAAUGAAAAAUGAUGAAACGUGGGUAUAUAAAGGACCAAGCAUCGAAUACGCAAUCACCGAAUCAUGUACGUGGUACCUGGCCUGAGGGCAGGUAUCGCAUAUGCGAACCUGUCAUCGCAUACGCGAGUCCCACAAUUGCGACCAAGAUGUCGCGUAUGCGACACUUGUAUCUGGUAGACUGAGUCGCGUAAGCGACUGAUCCAUCGCAUUUGUGGGUACACCAACACCAGUUGGAGACUUGGAGAAUUUCAAGUCUCCGGAGACCCCUCGAGAUUCAUUUGAAAUCUCGUGAAUGCAAAUUAACUAUGAUACCCUAUCAAAUUCGAUGCUCCGGACUUAAUGGUGAUAUCAGAUUUUUGAAAAAAUGACAUUUUCACAAAGUUGAUCCCCGAAAUUUAAUUUCACAACUUUUCAAAUCGAAGGUCGAAGUGAGAUAUAAAAUUUAUAAAACCACACCAACUAUGUUACCAACCUAAAAUCAACGUUUCAAAUAUGUUGGUGCAAUUUGUUUGGCCAUUCGAUACGCAGAUCAAUGAAUGUUGAUCGAAGUCAACUAUAAGGCUUUUCAAGCCACUAAAAACCAUAAUUUCACAUAAAGCACACCAAAAUGCAUUGAAAACUGUAUCAAGCAUCCCCACAUUCCAGAAAUACCACAACGCAACCACAGGGAGGGGUAAAAUGAUCAAAUCACACGUAAAUGAAUAUUUCACUUAAAUCAUCAAAGAUUAGGUCGUUAUAAGAAUCCAGUUCUGAACCAUAAUUUUCGUCAAGCAAAUGGUGUGGCAGACUUUUUGUGCAAGAUGGGUAUCAAACUACCACCUAACCAAGUGCGAAUUUUGCUAAUCCCUUCAAGCCAAGCUUUGCAGUUUAUGGAAGUUGAUCUACACGAUGCUCCUUCAUCUUAUAAUAAAUUAGCUAGUUUUGACAAUCCAUUUGUAUUGCCUCGUGCUCAGGACACUCAGGACAUCUAUAAUAAAUUUCCUUUUAUCCCCAAAAAAACUAUAGGCUAAUUGGGUUUUAAACUUUUGAAUGGUAAGAAACACGUUGGAAUAUAGUAAUAACUAGUUUACUUGAUCGCGCUUCGCACAGUCUAAGAAAAAUUCUCUUAUAGUUUUACCAUUUUUUCAAUUAAGAUCUGUAAAAUUCAAAGAUAAGCAAUUUAAUGAAAAAUUUAAAAUACAAAAAAAAAAAAUCAAAAUAAAAGGUAAGAAAUUAAUUCCUAUAUUUAGUUUAAAAUAUUUUUCUACCAAAAAAUUAUCUUACUAUAUAGAUGUGAAAUAAAGAAACGAAUACAUCAUUUAAGAGUUUUCUUCUAUACAGCCAAAUCAAAGUGAUAUAUGAUAGUAUAAUACCAUAGAAUAUAUAACAAUAUUCCUACUUUAAAUAAUAAAAUUAGAGGGAUAAAUUUGGACAGGACCUCAUGAAAUAAAAGAAUAUUAACUUUUACAAAUUGAUAACUUAAGUGCAGUAUUUACAUAGUUCAUCGAUUUACAUGUUUACGUAUUACUGAUUUAAGAUAAUUAUAUGUAUUAUCCUACCUAUUUUAUCCUUGCUCAUUAUAAUUUAAAUUUGUUGUUAAAGUAAAAUAUGCAUAUCUUGAAUUUCAUGAAUAUUUUAAUAAGACAGGUCUUCGUCUUGUUUUAUGUAUGUACUUAUAUGCACGGUAUUUAAUUUAUUUGUACAUUUACUAAAUGUAUAAGUAUUUCACUCUUUUUUAUUUUAGCAAAAACAUUAAUUUUGACAUCAUUUAGAGAGAAGAAAAAUACAUGCAAACAAAAUGAAAAAAAUUUACACAUUAACCCCUUGAAUAUUUUGAAUUGCAUGACUUUGGCAUCAUUCUUUACACUUCCCUUUGUAUUCCUUUUCCUUUUCUUUUCUUUGUUUUUCUUUUCUUUUUAUUUUUUAAUGUCAUUUCGUACUACAUUCUUUGUCCAUAAUGCAUGGCUUGCAAUAAUUCAUAUUCUGUUUAGUAUCUAUAAUAUAUGUCCUUUUAUCCAAAAAAAAAAAAAAAGAUCAUAGGCUAAUUGGGUUUUAAACUUUUGAAGGGUAAGAAACACGUUGGAAUAUAGUAAUAACUAGUGUAUUUGACCGUGUUUCGCACAAAAAAAUUUCUCUUAUAGUUUUAAAAUUUCUAAAUAAGAUUUGAAAAAUUCAAAGAUAAACAAUUUAAUGAAAAGUUUAAAAUAAAAAAAAUGGUAUAAGUAAAAUAAAAAGUAAGAAAUUAAUUCCUAUAUUUAGUUUAAAAUAUUUUUCUAUCAAAAAAAAAUAUUUUACUAUAUAAAUGUGAAAUAAAGGAACUAAUACAUCAUUUAAGAGUCUUCUUCUAUAAAACCAAAUCAAAGUGAUAUAAAAUAGUAUAAUACCAUAGAAUAUAUAACAAUAUUCCUACUUCAAAUAUGAAAUUAAAGGGGUAAACUUGGUCAGGACCUCAUGAAAUAAAAGAAUAUGAAAUUUUACAAAUUAAUAACUUAACUACAAUAUUUACAUAGUUCAUUGGUUUACAUAUUUACUUAUUACUAGAUUAGUUGCACGUGUCUCGCACAUGUAACUUUUGAUUUUAUGAUAAUUUAAUAAUUGAAGUUUUAAGUCCUUAUCUUGUUCUUUUGGGCUUUAAUUAAAAGACAUAUCUCUUGAACUUCAGAAGAAUAAGCAAGAAAUCUUUGAUAUAUAAUAGAACUUGAUGAAAGGUAAAAUAAAAAUGAUGUUAAUGACUGUAACAAGACAACUUGAAUCAAAAUCAAAAUAAGAAAAAAAGGAAGAAGUAUAUUCCAAUUAAUAAAGUGUUAUGCAAGUAUAAGUAAAUUUAGAGUUCUAUUGGCAGGUGUAGAACCCUUCUUCAAAUUUGGAGACAUAUCAAUACAAGAACUACAAUGACACCAAAAUCAAUAUUUUGCUUUACAUAGAUUUUCCACUAUUUUCUUAGAAAGGAUCAAGAAAAAAAAAAUUAGCUGCAAAAAUCAACUAAGGGCAGCUUCGGUUCAUUAUCUAGCUGCUACAUCUUGAACAAUGGCUUCUUUAUGUUAUUAUACAUUAAAUAAUGCUAAAUUUAUUAUUUUCUAAUUAUUUUUGAAGUUGUAGAUUCAUGAUUUGAGUUCGACAUUAAAUAAUGCUAAAUUUAUGAUGAUUGACACCCAAUUUUGACCUCCCGAUACUCUCUUAAGCUGCUAUUUUGUCAAUAUUAUCUAACUAUUUUUUACAUAUUAUUUUGGUAUCAAAUAAUUUUCACAAGUCAUAUUCAUGAUUUAAACAUAUACAAAUUAUUUUAUUACUUUUUUAUUUAUAAUAUUCUACAUAAUUUUAUUUUGUAAAUAUAUACACACUCACAUUUUUUAGAAAUAUAUUAUCUAUUAUUAUUAUUAUUAUUAUUAUCUAUAAUUUUAUAUAAUAAUCUUAUGUAAAAUUAAUUUUUAAUGUAUUUUUUUAAUAUCUACGUCUUAUUAUUUUUCCUGCAGUAAAUUUUAAUUUAUUCUCCUAUACAUUUUAAUUUCUAGUCAUUGUUGUACUCAAUUUGCAACAAUUAUAGUCAAAAUUAACAUCAUUUUGGCCAUAAAAUCAAAUUCCAACUUUUGACCUAUUUUUUAAAAUUAUUUUAACCUCAGCUGUUUAUUCAAAUUAAUCCAACGGUUGAGAUCAGUUAAACUUUCCUUUCCCUUUAAACAACAAUACCCAAACCCUAAUCGCCAUUAUUCCCAUAGCAGCCGCAACCCCCCUCACUCUGUCCACCUCUCACCGCCGGCCACCACCAGAGAGACCGAUAGACGCAACUCGGCCAUCCUCCGAGUGACACCGCCGCCCUCUGGACAGAAACAGCUGCAGCCGACCUCCUUUAUCUCCCUCUCUUUCUCUUUAAAGCCACCGGGAAACACCAUGCUCCGGCGAGCCGCGUCUGCUGACGCCGGUGCCCUUCACUAUCUCUUUUUCCAGUCGAUCCGCCAGACAUCACUAGCCAGAAGUUCCACCAGUGCCGCUGCUGCCUCCCCACGUCGCCAAAACAGUCCAUCCGACUCCAACCAACAACGAUCCGCCUCGAGCCGCAACUCUUUACGCCCGCACUUUUCGUCACCUCCUCGUCGGAGUUGACAACCAACGAGGUCUACUACGUAUUUCGGGUUUGAUUCUUGUGAAAACAUGAUUGUGGUUUCGGCUUGUUUAUUAGUUCCUUUAGACUGCUGCAUGUGAAAAACAUUUUGGUGAACUUUAAUUUUGUGUUUGUGUUCCUUUAUUCGUUGAUUACCAUUUUCCGCUGAAUCAUUUUUACUGAUCUUGUUCAUCGAGAUUACGAGACUUGAUUAGUAUUAAGUCUUAUGUGUUGUGAUUAAUUGUGAUAGUCUUGGUGACCUUUUCUGUUCUUGUUCAUGGCCUAAUGAAUGACAACCUCUUUUGAACGCUAAUUAUGGUGAUUUUAAAAUCCUUGACUUGUGCAAAUUAUCAAGUAAUGUGUGGCAGAUCGACAUAUUUUUUGGUAAAAUUGAUUUUUCUUGUCUUAUCAUUUGAAAAAUCUCUUGAUUGAUUGUCCUCUUUAUUUCAUUGCUUUUUAUAUUUUUUAACUUGGUUAUAUAUGUCGAUCGUAAUCUGUUUAUUUGAAAUUACGUUAAUUAAGGAAAUGAUUCUUGCUGAUUAAUUUCCAUGAAUGUCUCAUUUUCUUUCAAUUUAGUUAACUGGUUGAUGAAAAUAUUUUCCUUUACUUUAACUUUUAGACACAUUUUGUUUUGAAAAAAAAAUCACACUUGAUUAUAAUUCCCCUCUUUUAAAGGAAAAUAUUUCACUGAUUGAUGGGAUUAUUAUUUCCUUUUCUCUUUUCCUCUUGAUUGAUUCCCUGAAUAUUCAUAAUUAUUUUCUUCCUUUCUAAUAGUCAUUCCUCCCACUAUAUAAGGACACCCCUUCCCAUUCUUUGACAAUCUCUACACUCCCUCGUACAAAAGCUUUAAGCAAAAAUAAAAGUUACUUGAUUUUCUUUUUCUAAGUUGCAUUUUACCUUCGAAGCUUUGAUCUCAAUCUGUCCGUGGCAAUUCGCGUCAUGACUUUUGGUAUUAUUUAGUUUUAUUAUUAUUACCUUGUUAUUAUAAACUGGUAAGUCUCUGUUGACGUAAUUUCCUUUAUACCUUAUAUCAUGAUGCUAUAAACAUGCCUAUAGGAAUUAUUCGGUGUUUGCUUAUGUCUGUGUUAUGUUAUACUCUUGCUUAUACUGCUAUUACAUAGUCUCACAAGUGUAAAUAGACAGUUUCGGGGAUUUGAAGAGUUGACGGGGUAUUAGGGAGGGGGUUGCCCAUUCCUUUUCCUUUAUUUAGUUAUUUAUUUUAAUUCAUUGCGUUGUAAUAACUUUUGUAAGCCUCGGUGUAAUAAUAAAUUUAUGGGGACUGCUUGGGGGAGGAAUUUAUGUGUUUUACAUGCUAUGUGAUCACGUAGGCAAACAUAACUUAGGCUUAUGUGUAUUACGUGCUAUGUGAAUCACUUAGGCAAACAAAUCUAGGAUUUAUUAAUACGCCAAUUGCUUAGGCAAACUUAAUUUACGAUUUAUUAAUUGAUUCGCUUUGAAAUCUUACUUUUUAGAAUUUUAACUAACAUCCGGCAUCUUAAAUUGAAGUCAAGCAUCACGACGUAUAAAAUUAGUGAUCAACUUUAGUGUCUAAUUUUACCGCAUUUUUAAAGUCAUUUUCAGCACAUCGUUUUUUUUUGUAUGUAUAAUGUUCAGCAUGUUUAGAAAUUUCAGCAAUAUAUAAAGUCAAUGGCGACAUUUUAUUUUUCAGCCUAUUUUAUUAAUUUGUCGCUUGUUAAAUAAGGUCUUCAACACUUUUUGGCCUUUAAAUAGCAUUUUUAGAAGCUAAAACUCAAUUUUCCACGCAUUAAAUCGUUUUUCAGCAUUCAAAGUAAUUCCAGCAUAUUAAAUCAAUUUUUUUAGUAUUUUCUGGCAUAAUUUUAACUGAAAAAAGUACUUUUGCAAUAACUAUGAAAUUUGGUUCUAUCUCGAACAAUAAUUUUUUGCAACUCAACUUUCGCAAUAAUCAAAGGCUGUUUCAAUUUUUGAGAAAUAAUCUUCAACAAUAUAAGGUGGGCUUUGACAUUUAAUUCUCAACACUUGUUAUAACGAAUUUUGACAUGCUGAUUCACAUUUUGACAUUUUUGUUCCAUCAUAUUGAUCGAAACUUAGAUAUCAUACCUAUAGGGUUAAUUAUAUCACAAUAAAUUAUUAUUUGUCUUUGCAUGUUAAUCACCUUAAUUACUUCUUAAUUAACAAAGAGGUUUCUUUGAGACUAUUAUGUGCUACUUGACGUCCUAUUUUUUUACGCGCUUUGAGUUCAACUAGAAAACCUAGAUUCAUUUGUCUAGCUCACAAAUUCAAAAUAGCAAAGUCCAAUGCCUCUUGGACAAUAGGUUGGGAUGGUAGGCAUUCUAGAGGCGUUAGUUUUAUCCUUUCUUUUUAGAACGCUUUUAAGUUUGACAAUUAGCUUAGGUGGGGGGAAGGGUAGUCAUUCGGAAGUGAUGAUACCCAACAUAUAUUACACGACUAUGACAUUGUCACUUGUCUAAGAAUUUGAUUGUCGUCUAGUGGGUCAGAAUCAAGUUGGGGUUCUGAUCCAAAUAAAAUCAAAAACAUUUCCUUGGUUCGACUUUUUGAUUUUAUUCUUUUAUUUUAUCUGUUUAUCUAUUUGGGGUAGUUAGUUUAUUUAUGCAAUCCCCUUUGCUAUAAUCUGUGUCAUUCUUAUUUUCUCAUUUUUAUUGUUCUUUUAUUAAUUCUUGUGUUGUUUACCAUUUAGGUAAUUAUCAAAUGGGAAUAACCAAAUAACUUUUUUUUGUUUAUUAAUUACUUUAUCACUUAGUUAACAUCAAGUUAAUAUAAAUCAGUGACCUUUGUUUUAUCGCAUAAAAUUUUCACGUAAAAUAUGAAUUCGGUUGGAAAACACAUUUGUGGACCUCGAAAGGUGACUAACACCUUUCUUUCGAGGUAAUUUGAAUCAUUAUUCAAAUUUCUGGUGAACUAAAACUAAUUAACAAAAUAGGUUCGUAGUUAGCCUAGAAUGGUGCCCUAACACACCUUAAUACAUUAGGUGGCGAUUCUUCACUCUCAUUAAACAAUCCUAAAAAGGAGUUGUCAUGUCGAAUCCCGCUUUUUGCGAGAAAAAUGAGGCGCGGCAGAAUGGCUACUCCGCUGGAGAUCUUAGGUUCUACCCAUUACAAGUUUGUGUUUUAUGUGGGAUUCUACUACUUUGUCUUAUUUUUCUAUAAUUACCUUAUCUUUUUUCCCCUUUUAUUGUUUACAUGUUAGUCUCUCCUUUUCCCUUUUAUGUGUUAUUCAUAUUUCUCCAUGUCUAUCUCUUUCUCUUUUCUUCCUUUUGUUGGCUAUGUGCUUUCAUGUUUAUUUACUUUUGUAUUGCUAAGCAUGCCAUUGUAUUUUUGCUAUAUGCUACAUGUUACUGCUUUAUAUAACUGACAUUUUGCUCAUACUUUCCUCUACUUGGAACCUCCUUUAUUUUAUUAUGAACGGUCGUGUGGGUAUACAGACGUUCUUUCCUAAAAUACCCUUCGAAAAAUGCCUUGUGGAUCGAUCGAUCAGUGGUGCAUCUGUUGGGUUCGAAAUCAAGAGGGCGUCAUGCGGAAGCUAUUAGUUGCAAAUUAUGAGACAAUAAAUAAGACGAUAAAGAAAAAAAUACUAAAAAAAAUAACAUUAUUAUAUGUUUUGGCCAAUCGGCCAACAUAUUAUAAAAUCUAAUAUCAAAAACAUUAAACCUAUUGGGAGAAAUCUCCCCCUAAACAAAGACUCUUUAAUGACUACAUUGUGGAUGUUAUUGUGUUAUGGUAUGAGAAGAGAAUCUUCUAUUUAUAGAUGUACAAAACCUUUCCUCCAAGAAAGAUGUUUGCCAAAUAUGAAAAAUUUAUAUUUUCCUUUAAGGAAAAGUAAAAGUAUUUAUGGUUACUUUUAUUUUCCUUAUAAGAAAAAAUAAAACUUAAAUUUGGUAAGAAAACCGGGGCAAAAAUCCUAACAAAUCUCUCAUUUUUGGCUUGAUUUUCUUGACUUGAUCCACCUUCUUCAUGUCAUAUACAUAAUUUUGGUUCUUCACAUAAUCUUCAUUUAUCUCUGUUGUUUGUCAUGCUUAAAAAUUGAGCCCUUUUGGGUUAAAAAUAUAUUAUCCCUUUUGGGUAAAAAAUAUUGGAGUCCUAAAUAGGGUUAAAAGAGAGCUUUAUUGUCAAAGAUGUGACAGCAGGAUUGUUGAAAAUAUGAUUGAAAUAUCUUCUCCACAUGUAGUUGGACAAAAUCCUCGUUAUCAUCCAAUUGAUUACAAAUUGAUUAGAACUGCCUUAGACUUGUCUUCAACCUCGCUUUACCAAACCAUUGGAUCUUUGAACCAUAGUCUCUGCUAUCAAUUGUUGGGUUUGAAAUUGAGAGAGCGUCAUGCGGAAGCUAUUAGUUGCAAACUAUGAGACAAUAAAUAAGACGACAAAGAAAACAAUACUUAAAAACAUAAAAUUAUUAUAUGUUUUGGCCAAUCGGCCAACAUAUUAUAAAACCUAAUAUCAAAAACAUUAAACCUAUUGGGAGAAAUCUCCCCCUAAAUAAAGACUCUUUAAUGACUACAUUGUGGAUGCUAUUGUGUUAUGGUAUGAGAAUGAGGUCUUCUAUUUAUAGAUAUACAAAACCUUUUAUCCAAGAAACAGGUUUGCCAAAUAUGAAAAAAAUUUAUAUUUUUCUUUAAGGGAAAGUAAAAGUAUUUAUGGUUACUUUUAUUUUCCUUAUAAGGAAAAAUAAAACUUAAAUUUGGUAAGAAAAUCGGAGAAAAAAUCCUAACAGCAUCGACAGUCACAAGCCUUCCCACUCUCGAGUUGUCCAUUCGAGGGAACCAUGUCAUAAACCCAUUCUUGUCCUUUAGGUCUUGGCUACAUAUUUCUUUUACUAAGGAAUAUGCGUCCCAUUCAACCUAGGAUGCCUUGGCACCUUUGAUGCGUUGAAUGUUGUCUCAUUCAAAGUUCAAAGGGGUUCACGACCCCAAAAUGACGCAUAAUACUAUUUAUUAUGUGUUGCAUUUCUAUGUAUGCAUUGAUAUUGUGCCUUUCUUUCUUGCCUUUAUCGCUCUUUAUUCUUAGUUUUCCUCAUUUUGGAGUUCUUUACUCUCGAAGUUUUUAUCAUAUUAGGACCCUACAAUACACUCUUAGGGCCUAUUCAAAACUUUCCUUCAAAUUAUCCUUCUGACUCAUCCAUUAGUAUAUUACUCAUGAUUUUAAUCUCAUCCAUAAUCUUUUGGUGCAACUUAUCAUUUUAGGACAUUCUCUUCUUAAUGCCUUCAAUGCUUACAUACUAUCAUCCUUACCAUGUUAUCAUAUUCAUGGUGUAUUCUAGCUCUCCUAACAUAGAUCUUUCAUAACUUUUAUUCGCUUAGAAUGAGCAUAACUCAUUAUGUUCAAAUAAGUAGAAUAUUCAUUCUAGACUCUCAUGCGUACUCUUUUUACUAAUCGUAAGUCAUUUCUUCCAAAGUUGACUAGAGUAGAACAUCAGAAAUGGUCGGUCAAGCAAUGUUCAUCAAUUUUGUCAAUAGCAAAGUUGAGCAUGAGGGUUUGGUGUUGCAUCAAAACAAGGUUAUUUCGAACAUCAUAAGGAUGGAAAGAAGAAUAAAGAGAAUUAGGGGAAUAAUUAUUAUUCUUCGAGGUUCAGUUGAGAUGACACCAAGUUUUCCAGAGCCAUUAUCUGAAAUAGACUUUAGCACCCCCAUCUACACCACAAGGUCUCCUAUAUUAACGAACUCACCCACGCCUAAUUAUGAGGUGCAAAUGUUUUCAAGUCAGUAUUCAGUUGCACUACAGAAAGCACUUAAUGGAUUGACUACUAUGGGCAAGGAGAAGAAAACGGAAUUACAAAUUCCUAAGCAUAAGACAGGGUCAUCUCAACAGCCUGAGAUGAAUAAGUCAUCCAAAGCUAAGGAAAAAGACAAUGAUAAGAUUGAGGACUUGAACUUUUCAUUAUAUGAUGGGUCUGAAAAUCCCUUCCCCCAUUUGAAGGAGUACCUUGACAAGCUAUCGGUUAUAGGGCAAAGUGAUAGCCUGAAGAUAAAACUAUGUUAUUUCACUUAAAGGUCCAACAUAGAUGUGGUACGCCAAAAAUGAUACUAGAAAGUGGGUCUCUUGGGACCAUUUGGAAAGUGACUUUCUUAGGUGGUUCAACAAUAAGCUAAAGAGGAAGCUGACAGUCGAGACCAAUUUAGAUAGAGGGAAGACGAUCAUCGAUAAGACAUCAAAACCUCCAAAGCCUGAAGUAAGCAUACCCCAACCUCAACUGAUAUAGUACCCAGCUCCAGAAAUCAUUCCAGCAUCCAAUUAUCUCCAAGCCUAUUAUCCUAGUCCUUCACGAAACCUCCUCCACAGACUGUUUGCUACCCACCUUCAUUUGUUGCUCCAACAUCAAACUACCUUCCAAUGUCCACUAACAAAUCAACGAUCCAAUCAAUCUACCAAACCUCAACAUAAGUUGUAAAAAAAUCCAUCAAAAUAGUACACUUCUCCAGGUGAACCCAUAGAAUAGUUAUAUGAAUGACUCAAGGAUGAGGGCUACCUUACGCCCAUUGUUGUCAUACAUUGUGAUCCUAAGUCUCGAUAGUAUCAUCCUGAUCACAUUUGCGCCUAUCAUUCUGGGAUGAAAUGGCAUCGUACUAAGGCAUGUUUUGCCUUGAAGAACAUGAUUCAAAAGUUGAUUGAUACUAAGGUAAUAAAUAUGACGGGGUCAAAUUCUGAUGCUGAUUGAUUUCAUAAGCUUGACUUACACUGGUUGACAAUGGUGAAGAGGAUAUCAAGUUGAUUCUCUGCUCCAGAAUCUCAAAUAUUUGAAACUCCUUCAAGUUUUACAAUUUUAAUUUUCUUUGACACUCUUCUUACUUUUGUAAGGUGAACUACGAUCGACCUAAUUCCUCUAUAUGAGGGAUACGUAGGCCUCAUUUAAUGAGUUCAGUAUCAUCAUAAUAAAAUCUUCUUUUCCCUAUUUUGUUAUUUUUCUAUAUGAAUUUGGAUGAAUCAAUAAUGUGACAUAUGGAUUAACAAAUCUGAUGUUCAACAAAAGUCGACUUUGUUCAUUUCCUAUCUUCCCAUCUUCUUUAUAAUUAAAAUUUCCAAUUUAACAUCAUGUUCUAUUACUAUCAUUUUUUGUGCAUUAGGAUCUUAAAUCUUUAUGCCUAGGUCAAUUAUUAAGCCCUAGUCUUCAUCCUAGAAUGCCUUUAUUUUAUAUUUAUUAUGUUUUAAACUUAUAUGUGCUAUGUGGUAACUUUUGUUUGGGCUUAUUUAUUUUGUUUAAAGGUUAUCUAGCAUUUGAAAAUUGAUCUCAAUUAAAUCUGCAAUAUGACAAAUAUGCUCAAUAUCCGAAAAGACUCCAUCCCUCCUUCUCCUUGCCCAAGACAGAACACUGUGCCUCCUUAUCCUCGCCUUACUCCCAUACCCUCUCAAUAAUUUACUUCUGCCCGUAAGAGAGUUGAUUUUGAUACACGUCGUCGAAGGCUUUAUGACCUAGAGAAAAUGUUAGAUGAGAAAUUGCAUUCUCAAGGCAUUUACAACUUGAGGUAUGAGAAACUGUGUCUAUAUCCAAAAGUUAAUUUACCUCCGGGAUACAAAAUUCUAAAGUUUAACAUAUUUGAUGGGCGUGGAGAUCCAAUCACACAUUUAAGGGACUAUUGCGGAAUGCUAGUUGGCAUAGGAUAUCAUGAGGCUCUUCUAAUGAGAUUAUUUGUUCAAAGCUUGUCAGGAAUGGUGCUUACCUAGUUCGCCCUAUAAGAUUUCGACAAAUGGCAUAAUUGGGAAGAAUUGGCUCUAGUUUUCUCAGGCAAUAUAAGUUUAAAAUCAAUACCGGUCCAGGAAUGUGGGAUUUUCUUGAGAUAAAAAGAAUAGACUAUGAAUUUUUUGAAGAGUAUGCAAUACGGUGGCGGUUAGAAGCUUCUAAGACACGUCCUUCUGUACCUGAAGAAGAGUUGGUCCAAAUUUUCCUCAAAUCACUAGAUGGAAUAUACUUUUAAAAAAUGUUCUUCCUAAUGAGUCACAGUUUUGAGAGUUUAAUUUCAAUUGGAAAGAAAUUAGAAUAUAAAAUUUGAGUGGGGAGAAUCAUUGAUGUUUAUGCAAAGUUGGUCACUUUUCAAACACCAAAGAGUCUAUCUGAGGAAGGAGAAGAGAAUUCAUCACCCUCCAUACCUCAGACACAAGGCUAUCAAAAUAAUGAAGGAAUUUAUUUUGUUUUUGGUUCUCGUAAGGUAUAUAUUUAACCUUAUGACUCACAAGAUUCUCAAAGCAAGGCUUGUCAGAUCCAACCCUACUCUAUCCAGCAAGGUUCUCAAAGUGAGACUUCUCGAACACAACCCAACUUUCAACAAAGGCCUUAUUCAGUACACAAUGCUUUUCAUCAAGUGAAGAGAGUAAGUGUCAUCCCUCAAAUCCUAUUGGAGCGGACUGGCACCCAUAACCGAGGAGGCCCAGGAGAACCAGCUCAUAACCUUAUACUUCCUAUGCAUACCUCUAUGACAACCCAAAAUUCGGACAGCAUCAUGUCGCAUAUAAAAGAAAAUAAUCACUUGUAUAAGCUCGAGCACAUAUAUAUAUGUAUAUACAAUACUUGGCCGUUGGAGCCAUCACGUCUAUUAACAAAACACCACCCUGACUGUAUAUUAGGUCUACAAAGCCUCUAGAUAAUACACAGAGUUUAACUAAGGCCGGGACACACCCCGCCAUAUAACUAACUUCUAUAAAAUACCAAAAGUGACUGGAUAUGACACGAAAAGCCCCGAAACAAACUGGAGCUCACCAAAAGCAGCUGGAUAUCCUGGCACCUAUUUCUGCGGUGUAUGAGCUGAGGUACCUGUGCCUGCAACAUGAAAUGUAGGUCCCCCGUGGGGGACGUCAGUACGAAAUAUGUACUNNNNNNNNNNNNNNNNNNNNNNNNNNNNNNNNNNNNNNNNNNNNNNNNNNNNNNNNNNNNNNNNNNNNNNNNNNNNNNNNNNNNNNNNNNNNNNNNNNNNNNNNNNNNNNNNNNNNNNNNNNNNNNNNNNNNNNNNNNNNNNNNNNNNNNNNNNNNNNNNNNNNNNNNNNNNNNNNNNNNNNNNNNNNNNNNNNNNNNNNNNNNNNNNNNNNNNNNNNNNNNNNNNNNNNNNNNNNNNNNNNNNNNNNNNNNNNNNNNNNNNNNNNNNNNNNNNNNNNNNNNNNNNNNNNNNNNNNNNNNNNNNNNNNNNNNNNNNNNNNNNNNNNNNNNNNNNNNNNNNNNNNNNNNNNNNNNNNNNNNNNNNNNNNNNNNNNNNNNNNNNNNNNNNNNNNNNNNNNNNNNNNNNNNNNNNNNNNNNNNNNNNNNNNNNNNNNNNNNNNNNNNNNNNNNNNNNNNNNNNNNNNNNNNNNNNNNNNNNNNNNNNNNNNNNNNNNNNNNNNNNNNNNNNNNNNNNNNNNNNNNNNNNNNNNNNNNNNNNNNNNNNNNNNNNNNNNNNNNNNNNNNNNNNNNNNNNNNNNNNNNNNNNNNNNNNNNNNNNNNNNNNNNNNNNNNNNNNNNNNNNNNNNNNNNNNNNNNNNNNNNNNNNNNNNNNNNNNNNNNNNNNNNNNNNNNNNNNNNNNNNNNNNNNNNNNNNNNNNNNNNNNNNNNNNNNNNNNNNNNNNNNNNNNNNNNNNNNNNNNNNNNNNNNNNNNNNNNNNNNNNNNNNNNNNNNNNNNNNNNNNNNNNNNNNNNNNNNNNNNNNNNNNNNNNNNNNNNNNNNNNNNNNNNNNNNNNNNNNNNNNNNNNNNNNNNNNNNNNNNNNNNNNNNNNNNNNNNNNNNNNNNNNNNNNNNNNNNNNNNNNNNNNNNNNNNNNNNNNNNNNNNNNNNNNNNNNNNNNNNNNNNNNNNNNNNNNNNNNNNNNNNNNNNNNNNNNNNNNNNNNNNNNNNNNNNNNNNNAUAUCCACCUUCCAUAACUCAAUUACCAUAUCCACCUUCCACAAUUCAAGACAACUAAACCAUGCAAAAUAGUCCAUAACCCUAUUUCCAUCACCUUUUAAUAACAACCAAUACAUAUAAUCCUCUAUCACACAUAUACAUAUGGAAAAGAACAAAGGAAAAUAAUAUUCAUACCUUAGAAUUCACCUCUUGAUUAUGAAAUCCUAUUUGCACAAAUAAUAGGUGCCGUUCGAAGCUCUCGAGAUGACAAACGCAGUUAUCGGAUUACUUUGAAAUUUCUACGAUUGAAUCAAAAGUAAUUUGAAGGUAAAAUUUGGCUAGGGUUUGUUCUUUCUCAAUGAUUGAUCAAUGAUUGAUGAUGAAAAUGAUUUUUUGAACUCAUAUACAUGUAUAUAUACACAUAUUCCCGUCCAUAAUAUAAUAAAAAAUGACUAAAAUGCCUUUAAAAUUUAAAUAAUGUCAAAUCUGUCCUUUGGUGGACUGUUUUGAUAAGCUAAAGUAGAUCGACCAUAACUCUUUGCUCCGAUAUCGGAUUUGGGUAAAAUUGGUAUCGUUGGAAGGAUAAUUCAAAGGGAUUUCAUUUCAUAAAAAGUAGGCCACCCAGUUCGUCCUGUUCAAGGAGUUAUGAUCGUUUGAAGUUGAACCUAAAAAUCUGUUUGAUAGGCUGAAGUAAAACGAGUAUAACUCCUUACUCAGACGUUGGUUUUGGAUGAAACUAAUUGCAUUGGAAAUAAGACUCAAAGAUCUUUCUUUUCAUAGGUCGCAUCUCUCCAGUUUAUUAUAUUAAGGGAGUUUUGAUCGUUCGAAGUUGACCCUAAAAUUCAGCUGGCCUCAGGAUUUGUGUGUAGAAAAUUUUCUUGUACAUUUACUAUUCCCAAAUAUCCCGGCCACCGUUUUAUAGUUUCGAAUGUGCUCGAUUAUAUCCGAAACCUAUCCAUUUUUGGAAAUCUUUAUAUCGUUGGAAAGCUUAUUCAAUAACUUUCGCAUGGAACCAUCGACGGGCAAAUUCUGGUAUAAAUAAAAUAAAAAAAUUAAUUCCAUAUAAAUAAGACCAAUACACAUACUUGAAUACACCAAUACACGUACUUGAAUACGGGGUGUUUCAAUAAGGUCUCGAACUUUUACUCCCUUGACUGAGCCUUUGGCGAACAUAUUUGAAAUAUUAAGGUCCCAAGGUAUCGUAGAACUGAGGAGAGGGUGGAUCCCUACACAUCCACCCCCUCAUUUUGAUCCAUCUAAAAACUGUACUUAUUAUUCGAACAUUCAAGGUCAUGAUAUUGAGGAAUGCUCAGUUCUAAGGUACAAGAUUCAGAAUCUGAUUGAAAAGAAAAGGAUAAAAGUGCACCGAGACUCAAUAAGCAAUGAUCUUGUCACUACAGGUAAAAGCUUUAUUCCAGGUGAUCCGAUAAAAGUAUUUUCAAGAAAUUCACGAAAGAAGCAUAAAGCUUAGCAAAUGAAUUGACGUGCAAACAUUUCUUAUUUUUUCACCAUUCUUCUUUGAUUCGUCCUAUGGCCAAUAAAAUUUUCUUUUUUUAUUUACCUUUCUUUGUACUCAUGAACUACGUUUGACCUGACUUCCAUUUGGAUACGUAGGCUGCCCACUCUGGGUCCUGUCUUAAUCUAAUAAAACUUUUUCUUUCCCCUUUAUUUCCAAUUCUUACACAUCCAAAGUUUCAAGCUAAUAGGCAAAACCUCAAAAAUUUCACAAGUAAGCAAUAUAUCAAUGAUGUGCAAAAAGGCCUUUUCUUUUAAACUGGGGCAGAAAUAUUUUGAAAAUUUCUCAAAAAUUUCACCAUGAAGAAGUACAAUUCCCAACAGCUGAAGAAGCAGAAAUCGAUCAAGGAGUCAAAUCGAGCAAGAUACGAAUCAAUAUUUCUUUUCGACUGACGAUUUUUCUUUGAGUGCAGACAAUAGGUACUAAAUGUAGCAACGAUGCUAUGAUAAUCAAAGAAGCCAGGAUUAUAUCCCAAAUAAGGGGAAAAAGCUAAGUUGUUCUAUCUUUUGACUUUGACGACAUUGAAAUUGAUAUUAUAUUAUUAAAUAAUAUUGAGUUCCUGUAGAACCUUAAGUGAAUAAUAUUGACAACAUGGGUUUCUGUAGGACCUUAUUUGAAUAAUAUUGGGUUCUUGUAGAACUUUAACUUACAAUAUUGGAUUUCUGUAGAACUUUAAUCAAUAAUAUUGGGUUCCUAUAGAACCUUAAUCAACAAUAUCGGGUUCUUGUAGAACCUUAAUCAACAAUAUUGGGUUCCUGUAAAACCUUAAUUAACAAAUUUGGGUUCCUGUAGAACCUUAAUCAACAAUAUCGGGUUCCUGUAGAACCUUAAUCAACAAUAUUGGGUUCCUGUAGAAACUUAAUCAACAAAUUUGAGUUCCUAUAGAACCUUAAUAAAAAAUAUCGGGUUCCUUAAAACCUUAAUCAACAAUAUUGGAUUCUUGUAGAACCUUAAUCAACAAUAUCGUGUUCUUGUAGAACCUUAAUCAACAAUAUUGGGUUCCUGUAGAACCUUAAUCAACAAUAUUGGGUUCUUGUGGAACCUUAACAGACGAUAUUGGGUCCUCGUAAGAACCUUAAUUGAACAAUAUUGGGUUCUUGAAACCUUAUAUUUUUCAUGUCCUAAAUCGUAUUCACAUUCCAUAUUUCAAAACCACUCUAAUCUUGUUUAUUCGAGCUAUCAUUAUUCAAAUUCUCUUCACUUCAAUCACACCAACCCAUGAUAUCAUUGUUGACGCCCCUAUUCUCUAUCAUUAACAUUCUUUAGAAAUAUUGUUCAUUCCUAAAUCUAGAACUACAUACGACUUGAUUCUUAUAAAACCAAAGAUAUGUAGGCGACUUAAAACAAAAGUCCCAGUCACACUAUUUUUAAAACUAUCCGCCUGUAUUUUCAUUCCAACAAAUCCUCUUUUUGGUCGGACAAAAUUGACUACUACGUCAACUUUUGUUGCUCGACAAUUCUUUCAUCAUUCUCAAGAAACGAAGGAGCAGUUGUUGACAUCCAAUUUUGACCUCCCAAUGCUCUCUUAAGCUGUUAUUUUGUCAAUAUUAGCUAACUUUUUUUACACAUUAUUUUGGUAUCAAAUAAUUUUCGACAAGUCAUAUUCAUGAUUUAAACAUAUACAAAUUAUUUUAUUACUUUUUAUUUAUAAUAUUCUACAUUAUUUUAUUAAAAUUUAUUAAAUUUUUUCGUAAAUAUAAACUCACAUUUUUUACAAAUAUAUUAUCUAUUAUUAUUAUUGACAAUUUUAUAUAAUAAUUUUACGUAAAAUUAAUUUUUAAUGUAUUUUUUAAAAUAUCGGCGUCUUAUUAUUUUUCUCACAGUCAAUUUCAAUUUAUUCUCCUAUGUAUUUUAAUUUCUAUCCAUUGUUGUACUCAAUUUGCAUCAAUUGUAGUACAAAUUAACAUCAAUUUGGCUAUAAAAUCUAAUUCCAACUUUUGACCUAUUUUUAAAAUUAUUUUAAUCUCAACCGUUGAUCGAAGUUAAUCCAACGGUUGAGAUCAGAUAAACUUUCCUCUCCUUUUAAACAACAAUUACCCAAACCCUAACGCCUGCCACCACCGGAGAGACCGACGACGCAACCCGGCCAUUCUCCGAGUGGCAUCACCGACUUCUGGACAGCAACAGCAGCAGCCGACCUCCCUUCUCUCCCCCUCUUUCUCUUUAAAACCACCAGGAGACCCCAUGCUCCGGCGAUCCGCAUCUGCUGAUGCCGACGCCUUUCACUAUCUCCUUUUUCAGCCGAUCCGCCAGCCAUCACUAGCCGAAAGUUCCACCAGUGUCGCCGCUGCCUCCCCACGUCACCAAAACAGUCCAUCUGACUCCAACCAGCAACGAUCCGCCUCGAGCCGCAACUCUUUACGCCCGCACUUUUCGUCACCUCCUCGUUGGAGUUGACAACCAACGAGGUCCACUACGUAUUUCGGGUUUGAUUCUUGUUACAGAUUAAUUUUUGUUGUCUGUGUUGCUUGAUGUCCUGGAUUGAAAUUUGUGAAAACGUGAUUGUGGUUUCGGCUUGUUUAUUAGUUCCUUUAGACUGCUGCAUGUGAAAAACAUUUUGGUGAACUUUAAUUUUGUGUUUGUGUUCCUUCAUUCGUUGAUUACCAGUUCCCGCUGAAUCAUUUGUACUGAUCUUGUUCAUCGAGAUUAUGAGACUUGAUCAGUAUAAGGUCUUAUCUGUUGUGAUGAAUUGUGAUAGUCUAAGUGACUUUUUCUGUUCUUGUUAAUGGCCUAACUAAUGACAACCUCUUUUGAACACUAAUUAUGGUGAUUUUAAAAUCCUUGACUUGUGCAAAUUAUCAGGUAAUGUGUGGCAGAUCGACAUAUUCUUUGGUAAAAUUGAUUUUUCUUGUCUUAUCAUUUGAAAAAUCUCUUGAUUGAUUGUCUUCUUUAUUUCAUUGCUUUUUAUAUAUAUUUUUUACUUGGUUAUUUAAUUCGAUCGUAAUCUGUUUAUUUGAUUUUUAUCUAAUUACGUUAAUUAAGGAAAGGAUUCUUCGUGAUUAAUUUUCAUGAAUGUCUCAUUUUCUUUUGAUUUAGUUAACUGAUUGAUGAAAAUAGUAUCACUUAUAGACAAAUUUUGUUUUGAAAAAAAAAAUCACACUUGAUUAUAAUUCCCCUCUCUUUUAAAGGAAAAUAUUUCACUGAUUGAUGGGAUUGGAUUAUUAUUUCCUUUUCUUUUUUCCUCUUGAUUGAUUCCCUGAAUAUUUCUUAAUCAUUUUCUUUGAGACAACCCUUCUCAUUCUUCGAGAAGACGGACAAUCUCUACACUCUCUCGUACAAAAGCUUUAAGCAAAAAAAAAGUUACUUGAUUUCUUUUUCUGAGUUGCAUUUUACCUUUGGAGCUUUGGUCUCAAUCUGUCCGUGGGAAUUCGUGUCUGACUUUUGAUAUUAUUUGAUUUUCUUAUUUUUACCCGUUAUCAUCAAUCGAUAAGUCCCUGUCGACUAAUUUCCUUUAUACCUUAUAUGAUGAUGCUAGUAAACAUGUUUAUAGGUAUUAUUCGGUGUUUGCUUGCUAUGUCUGUGUUAUAUUUUCGCUUGUACUGCUACUACAUAUUGUCUCCCAGAUGUAAAUAGACAGUUUCGGGGAUUUGAAGUGUCGUUGGGUAUUGGGGAGGGGGUUGCCCAUUCCUUUUCCUUUAUUUUGUUAUUUACCUUAAUUCAUUGUGUUGUAAUAACUUUUGUAAAUCUCGGUGUAAUAAUAAAUUUAUGGGGACUGCUUGGGGCGGGGUGUAUGUGCUUUACAUGCACGUAGGCAAACACAACUUAGGUUUAUGGUUAUUAUCUACUAUAUGAAUCACUUGGGCAAGCAACCUAGGAUUUAUUAAUACGUGAAUCGCUUAGGUAAACUUAAUUUAUGGUUUAUCAAUUGAUUCUCUUAGAAAUCUUGCUUUUUAGGAUUUUAACUUAUAUUCGACAUCUUAAAUUAAAGUCAAGCUUGUUAAUUUAACCCACGAUGUAUAAAAUUAGUGAUCAACUUUAGUGUUUCAUUUUACCGCAUUUUUAAAGUCAUUUUCAGCAUAUCUGUUUUUCUGUUUAUAUAAUGUUCAACAUGUUUAGAAAUUUUUCUGUUUAUAAUGUUCAACAUGUUUAGCUAAAAGUCAGUUUUGACAUUUUGUUUUUCAGCCUAUUUUAUUAAUUUGUAGCUUGUUAAAUAAGGUCUUCAAUACUUUUUGGCCUUUAAAUAGCAUUUUGAGAAGCUAAAACUCUAUUUCCCACGUAUUAAUUCAUUUUUCAGCAUUCAAAGUAAUUCCAGCAUAUUAAAUCAAUUUUUUUUUUUUUAGUAUUUUUCGACAUUAAUUUUAACUGAAAUGCUUUUGCAAUAACUAUGAAAUUCGGUUCCGUCUCAAACAAUGAUUUUCUGUAACUCAAAUUUUGCAACAUUCAAAGACAGUUUCAAUUUUUGAGAAAUAAUCUUCAACAAUAUAAGGUGGACUUUGACAUUUAAUCCUCAACACUUAUUAUAGCGAAUUUUGACAUGGCGAUUCACGUUUCGUCAUUUUCAUUCCAUCAUAUUAAUUGGCACUUCGAUAUCAUGCCUACAGGUUAAUUAUCUCAAAAUAAAUUAUUAUUUGCCUUUGCCAUGUUAAUCACCUUAAUCACUUCUUGAUUAACCAAGAAGUUUCUUUAACCAAGAAGUUUCUUGAGACUAUUAUGUGCUACUUGAUGUCCUAUUUGUUUUACACGCUUUGAGUACAACUAGGAAACCUAGCUUUAUUUGUCUAGCUCACAAAUUCAAAAUAGUAAAGUCCAAUGCCUCUUGGACGAUAGGUUGGAACGAUAGGCAUUCUAGAGGCGUUAGUUUUAUCCUUUCUUUUUAGAACGUUUUUAGAUUUGACAACCAGCCUAGGUGGGGGAAGAGUCGUCAUUCGGAAGUGAUGAUAUCCAACAUAUAUUACAUGACGUAUGACAUUGUGACUUGUCUAAGAAUUCGGCUGCCGGCUAGUGGAUCGGAUAAUGAUUAACAAGUUGGGGUUUUGAUCCGAAUGAAAUCAAAAACAUUUUCUUGGUUCGACUUUUUGAUUUUAUUCUUUUAUUUUAUUUGCUUAUCUAUUCGGGGUAGUUAGUUUAUUUAAGAAGUUCCCUUUGCUAUAAUUUGUGUCAUUCUUAUUUUCUCGUUUUUAUUGUUCUUUUAUUAAUUCUUGUGUUGUUUAUCAUUUAGGUAAUUAUCAAAUAGGAAUAACCAAAUAACAUGUUUGUUUAUUAAUUACUUAUCACUUAGUUAACAUUAAGUUAAUAAUAAAGUAGUGACCUUUGUUUUAUCUCAUAGAAUUCCCACGUAAAAUAUGAAUUCGACUGGGAACCACAUUUGUGGACCUCGAAAGGUGUCUUAACACCUUCCUUUCGAGAUAAUUUGAAUUCUUAUCCGAAUUUUUGGUGAACUAACACUAAAUAACAAAAUAAACUCGUAGUUAGCCUAGAAUGAUUUCCUAAUGCACCUUAAUACGUUAGGUGGCGACUUUUCACUCUCCUUAAACAAUCUCAAGAAAGAGUUGGUACGUCGAAUCUUGCUUUUCGUGAGAAAAAUGGGGCACGACAAUGGCCCUUGAUGCUAUCAAGAGAAUCCACUAUAACUAUACUAUCCUUUGACAAAUUCUUUUCCUCGGUCAUGUUCAUGUAACUUUGGUUGCAAAUAAGAUGAAAUGAAGUUUCAAUAAUAGUUCUAACUGAUGGUUCUGGAUCCGUUCGUCCAAGUGCUUCAACUAAACAAGUUGUAGUUGUUGAUUUCCCGCUACAUGAUUGACCGCAGAACAAUCAAUGCCAUCUACAACCAACAAAAAGGAACAAAAGUAAACAUAAUGACGAACUAAUAAUGACUAUACCAAAAUAAGGUUAAUAGUAUAUUCAAAACUAAGUCAUGAUUAAAUAAAUAAAGGAAAAAAAAAAGAUAGACCUUUGAUUUUUUGAAACUUUCAAAAGUUCAUAUGCACUUCAACCUCAAAGACUGCUCCAAUUAGUUUUGCCUUAGAAGCAAUUGCUCCCAUAUUAGCAGAAAUAUUUGUUGUCAUAAUAUUCUAAGUACAAAACACCAAAGUAAAUACAAGUCAGGUGGAGCAAUGUAACUAUUGACACUUGAACAACAACUGCGGUACCAAAGUCUCUUAGGCGGCUAUUGCAAAUAUUUAUGGAACAAAAUACAUUGAGGGAGGGUUUUUUACUCUCCAUAUAUCACUUUAUUGAGUUCAAAUGUUAUAUUAAAUAGGAUAUUUGUCUAAAUAAUAAAAAUAUAUACAAUAAUUAAAUUCAACAUCUUUUGGAGAAUUUAUUUAAUUAAACCUAAUCUUUAAAAUAAAAUUGUUCAAGCCGAUCGACAUUCAUCUACCAUUUGUAAACUGCAACAAAACAAUACGAUGAUAGAGAUAUCAAAACAAUAUAAUUACACAAAUUUUUUCAAAGCCGUCUGAUA
RNAcentral lists this long non-coding RNA (41650 nucleotides) under Capsicum annuum. Its description in RNAcentral is "long non-coding RNA (CANN_LNC005006)". Lineage: Eukaryota; Viridiplantae; Streptophyta; Magnoliopsida; Solanales; Solanaceae. The record is from RNAcentral.